GACGAACGCUGGCGGCGUGCUUAACACAUGCAAGUCGAACGAUGAACCCGGAGCUUGCUCCGGUGGAUUAGUGGCGAACGUGUGAGUAACACGUGAGUAACCUGCCCUUGACUCUGGGAUAACUGCGGGAAACUGUAGCUAAUACCGGAUACGACCCUCGGCGGCAUCGCCAGGGGGUGGAAAGAAUUUCGGUCAAGGAUGGACUCGCGGCCUAUCAGCUAGUUGGUGAGGUAACGGCGCACCAAGGCGACGAGGGGUAGGCGGCCUGAGAGGGUGAACGGGCACACUGGGAAUGAGACACGGCCCUGACUACUACGGGAGGCAGCAGUGGGGAAUAUUGCACAAUGGGCGAAAGCCUGAUGCAGCAACGCCGCGUGAGGGAUGACGGCCUUCGGGUUGUAAACCUCUUUUAGUAGGGAAGAAGCGAAAGUGACGGUACCUGCAGAAAAAGCACCGGCUAACUACGUGCCAGCCGCCGCAGUAA
Molecule: ribosomal RNA, 484 nt
Filed under: uncultured bacterium
Lineage: Bacteria
Description: partial 16S ribosomal RNA
Rfam family: Bacterial small subunit ribosomal RNA
Source: RNAcentral